Molecule: ribosomal RNA, 465 nt
Filed under: Vreelandella stevensii
Lineage: Bacteria; Pseudomonadati; Pseudomonadota; Gammaproteobacteria; Oceanospirillales; Halomonadaceae
Description: partial 16S ribosomal RNA
Rfam family: Bacterial small subunit ribosomal RNA
Source: RNAcentral
CCUACGGGUGGCAGCAGUGGGGAAUAUUGGACAAUGGGCGAAAGCCUGAUCCAGCCAUGCCGCGUGUGUGAAGAAGGCCUUCGGGUUGUAAAGCACUUUCAGUGGGGAAGAAAGCCUUUGGGCUAAUACCCUCGAGGAAGGACAUCACCCACAGAAGAAGCACCGGCUAACUCCGUGCCAGCAGCCGCGGUAAUACGGAGGGUGCGAGCGUUAAUCGGAAUUACUGGGCGGAAAGCGCGCGUAGGCGGUCUGAUAAGCCGGUUGUGAAAGCCCCGGGCUCAACCUGGGACCGGCAUCCGGAACUGUCAGACUAGAGUGCAGGAGAGGAGGGUAGAAUUCCCGGUGUAGCGGUGAAAUGCGUAGAGAUCGGGAGGAAUACCAGUGGCGAAGGCGGCUUUCUGGACUGAAACUGACGCUGAGGUGCGAAAGCGUGGGUAGCAAACAGGAUUAGAUACCCUUGUAGUC